Molecule: ribosomal RNA, 253 nt
Filed under: uncultured bacterium
Lineage: Bacteria
Description: partial 16S ribosomal RNA
Rfam family: Bacterial small subunit ribosomal RNA
Source: RNAcentral
UACGAAGGGUGCAAGCGUUACUCGGAAUUACUGGGCGUAAAGCGUGCGUAGGUGGUUUGUUAAGUCAGGGGUGAAAGUUUUCGGCCCAACCGGAAAAUUGCCUUUGAUACUGGCGAGCUCGAGUGCGUGAGGGGUAACCGGAACGAGCAGUGUAGCGGUGAAAUGCGUAGAUAUUGCUCGGAAGGCCAACGGCGAAGGCAGGUUACUGGUACGCAACUGACGCUGAGGCACGAAAGCGUGGGGAGCAAACGGG